CGGACGGGUGAGUAAUGUCUGGGAAACUGCCUGAUGGAGGGGGGUAACUACUGGAAACGGUAGCUAAUACCGCAUAACGUCGCAAGACCAAAGAGGGGGACCUUCGGGCCUCUUGCCAUCGGAUGUGCCCAGAUGGGAUUAGCUAGUAGGUGGGGUAACGGCCCACCUAGGCGACGAUCCCUAGCUGGUCUGAGAGGAUGACCAGCCACACUGGAACUGAGACACGGUCCAG
Molecule: ribosomal RNA, 232 nt
Filed under: uncultured bacterium
Lineage: Bacteria
Description: partial 16S ribosomal RNA
Rfam family: Bacterial small subunit ribosomal RNA
Source: RNAcentral